AUAGGAAAUAAUAUAAAUCAGAGUAUACUUUACUUACGAUAAAGAAGUACUAUCCUAA
This 58-nucleotide transfer RNA is filed under the name Trichuris sp. TTB2. Its description in RNAcentral is "tRNA-Val". The record is from RNAcentral. Lineage: Eukaryota; Metazoa; Nematoda; Enoplea; Trichinellida; Trichuridae.